RNAcentral lists this ribosomal RNA (694 nucleotides) under Pseudomonas sp. RNAcentral's name for it is "bacterial SSU rRNA". It matches the Rfam family "Bacterial small subunit ribosomal RNA", at positions 54 to 743 of the family's 1533-position model. The record is from RNAcentral. Lineage: Bacteria; Pseudomonadati; Pseudomonadota; Gammaproteobacteria; Pseudomonadales; Pseudomonadaceae.
CAUGCAAGUCGAGCGGUAGAGAGAAGCUUGCUUCUCUUGAGAGCGGCGGACGGGUGAGUAAUACCUAGGAAUCUGCCUGAUAGUGGGGGAUAACGUUCGGAAACGGACGCUAAUACCGCAUACGUCCUACGGGAGAAAGCAGGGGACCUUCGGGCCUUGCGCUAUCAGAUGAGCCUAGGUCGGAUUAGCUAGUUGGUGAGGUAAUGGCUCACCAAGGCUACGAUCCGUAACUGGUCUGAGAGGAUGAUCAGUCACACUGGAACUGAGACACGGUCCAGACUCCUACGGGAGGCAGCAGUGGGGAAUAUUGGACAAUGGGCGAAAGCCUGAUCCAGCCAUGCCGCGUGUGUGAAGAAGGUCUUCGGAUUGUAAAGCACUUUAAGUUGGGAGGAAGGGCAGUUACCUAAUACGUGAUUGUUUUGACGUUACCGACAGAAUAAGCACCGGCUAACUCUGUGCCAGCAGCCGCGGUAAUACAGAGGGUGCAAGCGUUAAUCGGAAUUACUGGGCGUAAAGCGCGCGUAGGUGGUUUGUUAAGUUGAAUGUGAAAUCCCCGGGCUCAACCUGGGAACUGCAUCCAAAACUGGCAAGCUAGAGUAUGGUAGAGGGUAGUGGAAUUUCCUGUGUAGCGGUGAAAUGCGUAGAUAUAGGAAGGAACACCAGUGGCGAAGGCGACUACCUGGACUGAUACUGA